Molecule: ribosomal RNA, 253 nt
Filed under: uncultured bacterium
Lineage: Bacteria
Description: partial 16S ribosomal RNA
Rfam family: Bacterial small subunit ribosomal RNA
Source: RNAcentral
GACGUAGGGCGCGAGCGUUGUCCGGAUUUAUUGGGCGUAAAGAGCUCGUAGGCGGCUUGUCGCGUCGUUCGUGAAAACCCACGGCUCAACUGUGGGCUUGCGGUCGAUACGGGCAGACUAGAGUUCGGCAGGGGAGACCGGAAUUCCUGGUGUAGCGGUGAAAUGCGCAGAUAUCAGAAGGAACACCGGUGGCGAAGGCGGGUCUCUGGGCCGAUACUGACGCUGAGGAGCGAAAGCGUGGGGAGCGAACAGG